AUUGAACGCUGGCGGCAUGCUUUACACAUGCAAGUCGAACGGUAACAGGCCUUCGUGUGCUGUCUAGUGGCGAACGGGUGCGUAGUGCAUCGGAACGUGCCCAGAGGUUGGGGAUAACGCAGCGAAAGCUGUGCUAAUACCGCAUGUGAUCUGAUGUUGUAAGCGGGGGACCUAGCAGCAAUGUUUGGCCUCUCGCCUCUGUAGCGGCCGAUGUCAGCUUAGGUAGUUGGUGGGGUAAAGUCCUACCAAGCCGACGAUCUAUAGCUGAUCUGAGAGGGUGAAGGGCCACAAUGGAAAUGAGACACGGGCAAGACGCAUAAGGGAGGGAGAAGUAGGGAAGCUUGAGAAAGGGGCGAAAGCAUGAAGGAGCAAAGACGCGUGAGGGAUGAAGGGCUUCGGAUAGUAAAACUCUGUUAUAAGGGAAGAACAUAGGUGUAAGGAACAGUGCAAAUCUGGACGGGACCUAAUCAGAAAGCAACGGCUAAAUACGUG
This 492-nucleotide ribosomal RNA is filed under the name uncultured bacterium. RNAcentral describes it as "partial 16S ribosomal RNA". It matches the Rfam family "Bacterial small subunit ribosomal RNA", at positions 29 to 507 of the family's 1533-position model. The record is from RNAcentral.